RNAcentral lists this ribosomal RNA (468 nucleotides) under uncultured bacterium. RNAcentral's name for it is "partial 16S ribosomal RNA". It matches the Rfam family "Bacterial small subunit ribosomal RNA", at positions 28 to 507 of the family's 1533-position model. The record is from RNAcentral.
GACGAACGCUGGCGGCGUGCUUAACACAUGCAAGUCGAACGGAAAGGCCCUGCUUUUGUGGGGUGCUCGAGUGGCGAACGGGUGAGUAACACGUGAGUAACCUGCCCUUGACUUUGGGAUAACUUCAGGAAACUGGGGCUAAUACCGGAUAGGAGCUCCUGCUGCAUGGUGGGGGUUGGAAAGUUUCGGCGGUUGGGGAUGGACUCGCGGCUUAUCAGCUUGUUGGUGGGGUAGUGGCUUACCAAGGCUUUGACGGGUAGCCGGCCUGAGAGGGUGACCGGCCACAUUGGGACUGAGAUACGGCCCAGACUCCUACGGGAGGCAGCAGUGGGGAAUAUUGCACAAUGGGCGGAAGCUUGAUGCAGCAACGCCGCGUGCGGGAUGACGGCCUUCGGGUUGUAAACCGCUUCCGCCUGUGACGAAGCGUGAGUGACGGUAAUGGGUAAAGAAGCACCGGCUAACUACGUG